CAUUUUUUUCUUUUAGAAUUAUUUUGGUUUAUGUGUAUUCGUGUUUUGACUGCCUGUAUAUAUGGGUACGAUGUGCUCAUCAGAGCCCUUCCCCGAGAGCAAUUGGAGAGCAAGAUGUUUCCUCCCGAGUUUCUGUUCUUUCAUCUGGUUUUUGCAAUUGGUCGGUGAGGGGGUUAGGGGGCUUGCUACACAGCCCAAGAGCUCUCAUGUAGCUAAGGCUAGCCCUGAAACCAGAAUCUUUUUGUCUCACGCUUCUGAGCCCUCUCCCGGGAUAAUGACAAUGAUGAGAUGGUGAUGAUGAUGAUGAUGACAUCCUCUAUUGGCCUCUGAGGACACCUGCAGGCACAUGUACACACAUGCAUACACACAAAUAAGUCUUUCUUUUUAAUUAAAAAAAAGUUUAUUGAGUCUUGUGAGUUUCAUAUCAUGCAUCCCAGUCUCCUCAUCCCCUCAUAUCCUCAUAUCUACCCUUCACUCUUGCAACGUACCCCCAAAGUAACACAACAACAACAACAACACCCCAAAACACAGAAAAACAUCUCAUCGUGGAAGCUGUAGUAUGUCGUCGUGUAUCCCAAAGUGUAUCCCUCUGGCCACACAUCUUUUCUUGCAGAUGGACAUUGCAGUUGGUCUGGUUCGAGGUCUCUGCCUUCUGUGACACCAUCAAUAUUGGAUCCUCACCAGACUUCUCCUGCUUAUCCUGUUGUUGUUCUAUGUCAUGGAGAUCCUGCAUCUUUGGAUCAGCAGGACUGGCCCAUUCAUGAAUCUCAACCAUUUGCAGGUGAUAUAGAUUUGGGGAUGGGCCAACUCAGAACUCUCCAUCUGGGCCUCCGUGGUAGCUGAGCUCUAGUUAGCACUACCAGGGUGAGCCUUCCAGCACAACUCCAGCUAGACCACCCAGUGCCACCAUUGGCAGGAGACAGGGGGUGCUCUCCUGCCCUCAGGAUAACUCACUCACUUGUACAACUCCAGAGCCAGCACCAUGCUACCCAGUCAAAGCACAGGGUCCACUUUCCCAAGUGCUACAGCCUUUGAGGGACUGGGCCAACUCUCCUUGGAGCCGACUCACUCGUGCUUUCUCCACUAGGGCCAGCCCUACUAUGCUGCCCAGGCAAGGUGCAGGGCCCCCUCUCUCCCAAGUGCUGCAAUCUGGUGAGGGGCAGGGCUAACUCACCCACUCUCAUGACCCCAGGAUCAGCUCUCCUGACUGCCUCCAGUGGUGAGGGGGCAAAUGAAGGGUAUCCCCCCUCCCACUCCCACCCGAUCCAGGCCACCUCAAGGCAGAAGAGUGGCAGGGUCAGCUCUCCCUAGCCUCUGGUUGGCUUGUCCACACCCCUGCCACCAGGGCCAGCUCCACUGUAGUGCCUGGUGAGCUGCAGGGCCUGCUCUCCUGACUGCUGCUGCUGGUGAGAGGUGGGGUCAGCUCUCCAGAGCACAGCAGCCAAUGAGGGACAGGACCAGUUCAGCACAGUCCCUGGACAUGUACAUGGUCCCUGGUGGCUGCCCAGAUCAGGGAUGUCCCCACGUUCUCUAAUGAUAAUAUGACCCAUGACCAUUGCCACUGACCUUUGCCACUGAAUAGCCAUGGACCUAGACAUGGCCCCUCAGGUGGUAGCUUUGACUGGGACCUCACCAUGGCCCCAGGUGGAGGGCCAGUCAUUCACAACAGGCUACUCCUCUCCACCCUGAGUCUCCAGUUCCAUCUCUCUUCACAAUGCUUAAGCUGUUCCACUUCUUUUUCUCUCCCAUCUGUCCACCAUGUACUUGCACAUGUGGUUGCUCCCACUGCAGGAUGGCCACAUGGCUGGCAGACCCCUGAGUGACAUCUUCUGUCUGCACCAUGUGUCCUAGAGGCAAGCAGGUAUCUACUGCCCACCUGUAGGUGCACAGGGGGACAAGUCUGUGGGUCUCAUGGUGGUCCAGAGGUCCCUGUCUGUCUUCCUCCUCCCUAGUUGCGGGGCUCUGUGUAUCUAUGGCCCAACUAUGCCAUGGGGCAGAAGGCAGGUCUGGGGGCAUCUUUCCCUACCUGCAGCACCUGACAUAACAGACAUAGGUCUCUAUCUGUC
RNAcentral lists this long non-coding RNA (2066 nucleotides) under Mus musculus (house mouse). Its description in RNAcentral is "long non-coding RNA chr2:119004586-119006652". Lineage: Eukaryota; Metazoa; Chordata; Mammalia; Rodentia; Muridae. The record is from RNAcentral.